AGAAGACUAGAUGAAAGAACUUUGAAUGUGUUUCACCAUAAAGAAAUGAUAAAUGUUUGAGGAGCUAUGUUUAUUUUGAGUUAAACAUUGCUUAAUAUAUACAUGUAUAGAAACAGCACGUGGUUCCCCAUUAAUAUGUACACCUUCUAGUUUUUAUGCAUCAGUUUUAAAAAUAGGGUUGUUGGCGGUAGCUCAGUGAUAGUGUGCUUAGCAUAUGUAAGGCCCUUGAUUUAAUCCCUAGCACCAAAAUAAAUACAUUUUAAUUUUUUAAAAAAAGGUAGAAAAUAUUCUUUUGUAGUUAAUAGACUGUAACUUACCCUACAAUUGGAGUACUCAAAACUGAAAUGACACUAAACAAAAUUAAAUCUUGUACUGGUGAUUAAGACACACACAAAUCCAAUCUUCAAUCCCACCUCAGCCCUGGGCUCUGAGUAUUUCUCAGAAGCCUGAGAAAUUCUGGGUGAGUUGUUUUCACACCUCACUGAGGUUCAGGGUUGCAAAGCAUCUUCUGGGAUGUGUUUCAUUACCCUUGAUUUCUUCACCAGGCUGCUGUCUCCUAAUACAACCUUAAACCGAGAAAAACAAAAUGGUGCUGUUCUCUGGGGUCCACACUAUCUUCGAAUACACUGUGUCCUAGCAGAAAUGGGAAGAGAAGCCAUUUCCCUGCAAGCCUGCCUCAUAGACUUUGAGGCCUUCCUAACUCUCCUCUGUUGAUUCUUCCUGCCUUUGGAGGCUAAGUUUCUCCUUAAGGAGCUUUCCUCUGCAGGCAAAGCUGCCAGACAUCUCUGGGUCACCAGCACCACCAAUGUGUCAAACAGGCCCACAUUCUAUUUAGGACCACCCCAGUGCUCCUCGGCCUCUCUGGCCAGGCACCUGCUUCAUAAUUGGGGGACUAUGGAGUUUAUUGUCUAAACCAGGACACUUCUGAGAGUGCUAAAAUGCUAAACCAGAUGGUACUUCAGGACAACAUGCAUAAACUAAGGAUGUAUGGUCACCCUACUCAAGACUGUAAUAC
RNAcentral lists this long non-coding RNA (1015 nucleotides) under Marmota monax (woodchuck). Lineage: Eukaryota; Metazoa; Chordata; Mammalia; Rodentia; Sciuridae. The record is from RNAcentral.